Molecule: ribosomal RNA, 750 nt
Filed under: Odorrana morafkai (Morafkai frog)
Lineage: Eukaryota; Metazoa; Chordata; Amphibia; Anura; Ranidae
Description: partial 12S ribosomal RNA
Rfam family: Bacterial small subunit ribosomal RNA (bases 1-505)
Source: RNAcentral
GCCCAGCCCUAAACAAUCAACUUACAGCCUCAAACGCCUGGGAAUUACGAGCCACGCUUAAAACCCAAAGGAUUUGACGGUGUCCCAUCCACCUAGAGGAGCCCGUUCUAUAAUCGAUAAUCCCCGCUAUACCCAACCGCCCCUCGCUCAUCAGUCUGUAUACCUCCGUCGAAAGCUUACCAUGUGAACGACUAUAGUAAGCUCAAUGGCCCUCACCCCGUCAACACGUCAGGUCAAGGUGCAACUUACGGGGCGGAAAGUAAUUGGCUACAAUUUCUAACCUAGAACAAACGGAAGGCUGUGUGAAAUCACGGCUACAAGGCGGAUUUAGCAGUAAAAAGAAAGCAGAGUGUUCUUUUUAACACGGCUCUGGGACGCGUACACACCGCCCGUCACCCUCUUCGACAGUAUCAUACCUAAGUCCAUAACCCAUUUUUUUACACCUAGAAGAGGCAAGUCGUAACACGGUAAGUGUACUGGAAAGUGCACUUGGAAUACACAAAAUGUAGCUUAAUAAAGCCCCCCGCUUACACCGUGGAGUUAUCUGUUUAACCCAGAUCAUUUUGAGCCUUAAAUCUAGCCCACACAAUCCGAAUGAUACCCCUAAAUUACUGUAUGAGAUAAAACAUUUUAAUAUCUUAGUAUAGGCGAUAGAAAAAUUAAUAAGCGCUUCAGAUAAAGUACCGCAAGGGAAACAUGAAAUAGAAAUGAAACAACACUAUAGCCCUAAGCAGCAGAGAUGCCCCCUCG